This 2033-nucleotide long non-coding RNA is filed under the name Homo sapiens (human). RNAcentral's name for it is "non-protein coding lnc-PACRGL-12:2". Lineage: Eukaryota; Metazoa; Chordata; Mammalia; Primates; Hominidae. The record is from RNAcentral.
CAUGUGCAAGAGCAGUAGGGAGUGACAUCACAUCUGUAACUAUAGGAGUGUUUCCUUGCUAUCAGAUCCAAGUGAAUACAAUCCUUUGUACCGAGUUACCUUGAGGUAGCCAAAUGUGCCAGAGUCAACUCUAGUUAGAAUGAAUGAGUCUUCUAGAUGUGCACUUUCAGCUAAGCUUGGCAGGAUCUCCAAACUCCUAAACUCUGUGUCCUGGUAAGUCAUCACCAGGACUAAUCACAAACGUUAAAACACAGCUAGCUACUGGUUCUCAUCAAUUUUGCGAUAAAAUGAUCAUAGUAUCACCAAAUCACGUUGUUUUUUUCUUUUUGUCAUCAAAGAAUGAAUCAGAAUGCCACAUUUGAUUCUCUUCAUAGGUGGAUUUUUCUUCAUUUAAGAGCAUUAAUUUUUGAUUUCUUAUAAAAGAUAUAUUUCAUCACAUAAUUCUUUACAUCAUCAAUAAAAAUCUGGAUAAAAUAAGCCUUUUUAUUAUGUAGAAUUAUAAUAAUUAUUAUCAUAAUAAUUCUUCCCAUCUUUUACUUAAUGUAGCCUAGGUAAAUGACAGUGAAAAAGCAUUUUGUGUAUAAAAGCGCUAUCAAGAACGCUACCUUCCAGGAACGUAAAUUGAUACAUGGAAGAAGAAAGGAGCCAGGUGUGAUAGCUUCCAGCUGCGAUGGUAGUGGGUAUAGAAAGAAGAGUAUGUGCAUAUUUUUUUGUCUUUAAAAAUUUUAAAUAAGGAAAUGAGAGAGAAACUAACCCAAUAAAUGAUGGCCUUGUACAAAGUAUCUUGGAUUCUUAUCAAGGCUGUGGCAGUCAAGUGUCCUUUGCCCCUGCUUCCUUGUUGUUUGCAUAACUCAUUGUGAAAGAUGAGGAUUUAUCUCUUUGUUAGUUUUCUUUCCUUCUAUCUUCCUAUCUCCACUACUACAUGAAAGAUUCCAACACCAUAAUCCCACAAAGUUAAUACUUGUUUUCUAUUUGUUCAUUUUGUAAAUAAAUCUAAUACUUUUUAUUUCUAUACAUUUUCUCUCAUUCUAACAUACUAGAUAGCCCUACUCAUUAGUGAUGUAAGGAAUCUUUCAUGUACUUAUCACUACUAAUCAUUAGGGAAAUACAAAUCAAAACAACAAUGAGACAUUGCUUCACACAUAAUAUGAUGGCUACUAUUAAGAAAAAAAAAAGCAACAGAAAAUUUCAAGUGUCAGCUAGGUCGUGGAAAAAUAGGGCAUCUUGUGCCCUGUUGGUGGGAAUGUAAAAUGGUGCAGGUGCUAUGGAAAACAGUAUGGUGGGUCUUCAAAAAAUUAAAAAGAGAAUUACCGUGUGACUUAGCCAUUCCUCUUCUGGGUAUAUGCCCAGAUGGUCUGAAAGUAGAGUCUUGAAGAGAUACUUGCAUAUUAUGUACAUAGUAGCAUUAUUCAGAAUAAACUGGAAAUAACCCAGUGUCUAUUGAGAAAUGGUGGAUCAACAAAAUGUGGUAUGUACGUGUGAUGAGGUUUCACCAAGCCUUAAAAAGGAAGAAAAUUCUGACUCACGCUACAGCAUGAAUGAAGCUUGAGGACAUUAUGCUGUGCAAAAUAAAUCAGUUACAAAAAGACAAAUACUGUGUAAUUUCACUUUUCUGAGGUACCUAGAGUAGUCAAAACCAGAAAGUAGAAUGGUGGUUACUAGGGGCUUGGAGGAGGAAGGAAUGUUGAGUAAUUGUUUAAUUUUUGCAAUGUUUUAGUUUUGAAUAUUUAAAAAACUCUGGAGAAAUGAUAGUGUUGAUGGUUGCUAAACAAUAUGAAUAUAUUUCAUGUCACAGAACUAUACUCUUAAAAAUGGUUAUGAUGGUAAAUUUGAUGUGUAUUUUACCACAAUUAGAACAAUAUUUUUGUUAGUUCACGAUACACAAUAAAAUGAUUACAGAUUGAAUGAGGAAGCUUGGGUGGAUUCAGACAAAAAAGAUUGGUCCUUCAAGACCCUAUCUCCAAAUCCAGUUACAUUGGACAAUGCAUUAAAAAGUGUAUUUCCUAUAUGUAAUCCAACAAUCAUAAUUGUUU